ACUCCUACGGGAGGCAGCAGUGGGGAAUAUUGGACAAUGGGCGCAAGCCUGAUCCAGCAAUGCCGCGUGGGUGAAGACGGCCUGCGGGUUGUAAAGCCCUUUAGGCGGGGAAGAACGGCCGGGCGCGAACAACGCGCGGCUCUGACGUUACCCGCAGAAUAAGCACCGGCUAACUCCGUGCCAGCAGCCGCGGUAAU
RNAcentral lists this ribosomal RNA (197 nucleotides) under uncultured Gammaproteobacteria bacterium. Its description in RNAcentral is "partial 16S ribosomal RNA". It matches the Rfam family "Bacterial small subunit ribosomal RNA", at positions 335 to 524 of the family's 1533-position model. The record is from RNAcentral. Lineage: Bacteria; Pseudomonadati; Pseudomonadota; Gammaproteobacteria.